GCAGAGUAGAUUAUGAUGCGUUAAGUGCCCGGUGUACAGGGAGUUGACACCGGGACGAAAAUGGCGAAAGCUUUUGCGGUAUCAUAGUCGCAUCCCGCUGC
This 101-nucleotide non-coding RNA is filed under the name Suipraeoptans intestinalis. RNAcentral's name for it is "THF riboswitch". It matches the Rfam family "THF (Tetrahydrofolate) riboswitch aptamer". From Rfam's summary of the family: THF riboswitch presents a pseudoknot that joins P1-P2 and the loop of P3 and two THF binding. The record is from RNAcentral. Lineage: Bacteria; Bacillati; Bacillota; Clostridia; Lachnospirales; Lachnospiraceae.